Molecule: ribosomal RNA, 43 nt
Filed under: Hebeloma vinosophyllum
Lineage: Eukaryota; Fungi; Basidiomycota; Agaricomycetes; Agaricales; Hymenogastraceae
Description: partial 28S ribosomal RNA
Source: RNAcentral
UUUGACCUCAAAUCAGGUAGGACUACCCGCUGAACUUAAGCAU